GAAGCUGGAAUCGCUAGUAAUCGCGGAUCAGAAUGCCGCGGUGAAUACGUUCCGGGUCUUGUACACACCGCCCGUCACACCAUGGGAGUCGGAAAUGCCCGAAGUCUGUGACCCAACCAUUAAGGAGGGAGCAGCCGAAGGCAGGUCGGAUGACUGGGGUGAAGUCGUAACAAGGUACC
RNAcentral lists this ribosomal RNA (179 nucleotides) under uncultured bacterium. RNAcentral describes it as "partial 16S ribosomal RNA". It matches the Rfam family "Bacterial small subunit ribosomal RNA", at positions 1322 to 1500 of the family's 1533-position model. The record is from RNAcentral.